RNAcentral lists this ribosomal RNA (406 nucleotides) under uncultured bacterium. RNAcentral describes it as "partial 16S ribosomal RNA". It matches the Rfam family "Bacterial small subunit ribosomal RNA", at positions 30 to 526 of the family's 1533-position model. The record is from RNAcentral.
AUUGAACGCUGGCGGCAGGCUUAACACAUGCAAGUCGAACGAGUGGCGGACGGGUGAGUAAUGCUUGGGAAUCUAGCUUAUGGAGGGGGAUAACUACGGGAAACUGUAGCUAAUACCGCGUACCAUAGGAUGAGCCCAAGUGGGAUUAGGUAGUUGGUGAGGUAAAGGCUCACCAAGCCGACGAUCUCUAGCUGGUCUGAGAGGAUGACCAGCGACACUGGGAAUGAGACACGGACCAGACUCCUACGGGAGGCAGCAGUGGGGAAGAUUGCGCAAUGGGGGCAACCCUGACGCAGCCAUGCCGCGUGAAUGAAGAAGGCCGUCGGGUUGUAAAGUACUUUCAGCGGGGAGGCGUUACCCGCAGAAGAAGUACCGGCUAACUCCGUACCAGCCGCCGCGGUAAUUC